Molecule: long non-coding RNA, 37865 nt
Filed under: Malus domestica (apple)
Lineage: Eukaryota; Viridiplantae; Streptophyta; Magnoliopsida; Rosales; Rosaceae
Description: long non-coding RNA (MDOM_LNC009546)
Source: RNAcentral
GUGACAGGACAAGAAGUAGCAGUUAAGAGGCUUUCAAAGUGUUCAGGGCAAGGAACGUUGGAGUUUAAGAAUGAAUUGAUACUCAUAUAUGAACUCCAACAUAAAAACCUUGUCAAACUUUUUGGAUUUUGCAUUCAUGGUGAAGAGAGGAUGCUUAUAUACGAGUAUAUGCCAAACAAAAGUUUGGACUACUUUUUAUUCGGUUGGUAACACUCCCUUUAAUCCUACUGCUUGAUUUAAUUUUGUUUUGGGUUUAUGUGAUAUAUCAAAAAUACACAGAUAAUUAUCAAUCUACUAAUUCUUCAAUAUACUGAGCAGAUUCAACAAGAGUCACGCUACUUGAUUGGAAGAAGCGUUUCAGUAUAAUUGAAGGAAUUGCUCAAGGAUUGCUUUACUUGCACAAGUACUCAAGAGUUACUGUAAUUCAUAGAGAUUUAAAAGCAAGUAACAUACUACUUGAUGAAAAUAUGAACCCCAAAAUAUCUGAUUUUGGUAUGGCAAGGAUUUUCAAGCAUAAUGAACUAGAAGCAAAUACUAAUAGGGUUGUCGGAACAUAGUAAGUAAACAAUAAAUUGGUCUUUCAUUUCUUUCAGUUUGCUAUAUUAUAUAACAUGGAUUAUUUAUGUAUGCAGAAGUACUAAAACAAGUUUUUUUUUUCUAUUUGGUAAUAGUGGUUACAUGUCUCCCGAGUACGCCAUGGAGGGCCUCUUUUCCAUAAAAUCUGAUGUUUAUAGUUUUGGAGUGUUAAUGCUUGAAAUUGUAAGCGGCAGGAGAAACAAUAGCUUCUACAAUGCUGAUCGCCUGCUUAAUAUAGUAGGAUAUGUAUGUCAUUCCAAUCUUAAUUGCGACAAAAAAAAUUUGUUCGUGGUUUUAGGUGUGUUUCUAAUUAAAUACAAUCCUGCAUGUUUCAGGCAUGGGAAUUAUGGAAGGAAGGCACAGUUCUAGAAUUAAUGGAUCCAGCAUUAGGCGAUUCAUGUAUCAAAGAUCAAUUGUUAAGAUGCGUUCAUGUUGGUCUACUAUGCGUGGAAGAAAAUGCAGCUGAUCGGCCUACCAUGUCAGAUGUCGUAUCUAUGUUGACAAAUCAAAGCUCACCGUUGCCAUUGCCUGCAAAGGCAGCAUUUUUUACAGGAAGAAAUGUGGUUGAAAAUGGUUCGGGUGGAAAAAAAUCAGAAUUUUUUUCAUCAAAUGAGAUAUCUGAUUACACUGCUGUGCCGCGAUGAAUUUACAUCCUACUAUGUUUACGGUUUGCCUGAAUUUUUGCUUGCUUUUAUAUGUAUGAUGGAAGUACUCUAGUUGGAAAAUUACUUUUUCCUCACAAACUAAUGUACCUGUGGAAAUAUCAACUAUAAUAGCUGUUGGCAUUAUGUGCUCUCUGUUCUCUGCUGUAAAACGUUCAGUUAUAUAUAAGAGCAAAUGGAUGAAGCAAGAUGAAUGAUACUUUCAUGUGUUAGAAUCUACCUGAUCAAGUUAUGCAGCAGUGGUAGCAGUUCCAGUUCAUAUAAUUACUGUUGAUGUGCCUAUGAGGAAACAGCUUAGUGAGUUAGCCGCCUUCUUCCUCAGGCACAAGGUCUUAAAUCAAAACGUAUUUUCCAGAUCAUGUGGUACACCUAUGGAAGCAAGUGUACUGAGGAACACCAGGCAUGUUAGUACUAUACCUUCAUCUUCCUACUAUAUCGGAGUCGGACAUGCCAUUUGGCUGAAAGAAGGCAGGGUUUUCUCUUUCUCCCUACUAAUAUUAUUGUGAACACGAAAAUUUCCUGAAAGGAAAGAGACAAGAACAACGUGCACAAACAAAUAUUUGUAUUUGAUGAUUUUGGGUUACAAUCUCUCUCUAUUUUGAUCUUCUAAUUCGAUCUCCAUAAGGUGUUGAUUUGUGGAUGUUUCGUUGAUCCAAGGGCCGUCGAGGCUUGAUUUUGGAUGAACUGUUGGAAGUUUCUUCAAGGGUUGUGGGCUUGAUCUUCGAAGGUGGAUUUGAGCGAAUCUUCAAGGAGCCGUUGGGGCUUGAUCUUGCGGAUGAGUGUUUCUUCAAGGGCCGUUGAGGCUUGAUCUUGAAUAACGGUGAUGAGCGGAUCUUCAAGGGCUUUUGGGCUUGAUCUUGAAGAACAGUGAUGAACGGAUCUUCAAGGGCUUUUGGGCUUGAUCUUGAAGAACGGUGGCUUGUUGAUCCAAGGGCCGUCGGGGCUUGAUCUUGGAAGAACGAUGAACGAUGAACGAAGAACAAAGAACACUUUAUUCAAGGGCCGUCGGGGCUUGAUCUUGAAUUGGUGGAUGAUUGUUGAUCCAAAGGGCCGUUGGGGCUUGAUCUUGGAAGAACGAUGAACGAAGAACGAAGAAAACUUUCUUCAAGGGCCGUCGGGGCUUGAUCUUGAAAGAACAGUUGUGUGGAUUUAUUGAUGUUGUUGAUCCAAAGGGCCGUUGGGGCUUGAUCUUAGGAUGAACAGUUGUGUGGAUUUGUUGAUGUUGUUGAUCCAAAGGGCCGUUGGGGCUUGAUCUUAGGAUGAACAGUUAUGUGGAUUUGGUGAUAUUGUUGAUCCAAAAGGGUCGUCGGGGCUUGAUCUUUUGAUGAACAGUUGUGUGGAUUUGUUGAUGUUCUUGAUCCAAAGGGCCGUUGGGGCUUGAUCUUAGGAUGAACAAUUGUGUGGAUUUGUUGAUGUUGUUGAUCCAAAGGGCCGUUGGGGCUUGAUCUUAGGAUGAACAGUUAUGUGGAUUUAUUGAUGUUGUUGAUCCAAAGGGCCGUUGGGGCUUGAUCUUAGGAUGAACAGUUGUGUGGAUUUGUUGAACACUUUCUUCAAGGGCCGUCGAGGCUUGAUCUUGAAUUGGUGGAAGUUCUUCAAGGGCCGUUAAGGCUUGAUCUUGAAGGAGGAUUUGACGAAGAACGAAGAGGGCUUUCUUGAUCCUUCGGGAUUUGCUGGAAUUUGGGAGGUUGGAUGCUUGAAAGCUUUAGAGUUUCAAAGCUUCAAGGAUUUUGGAUGUGUGCGGAGUAUUCUCUUCCAUUUUGGGAGUAGAGAAAUGUAUUUGUGAAUUGGUUCAUGAUACCUUGAUGUAGAAGCCUAUUUAUAGGCUUUGAGAAUGAAUCACCACCACAAAAUAUUUUUUUCUUUUCCAAGCACCAUUGCCUAAUUUCCCACUUAAUACAAUUUUAAACUUGAAGUGGUAAUUUUAUGGCCUAAUUUUCCACUCAAUAUCAUUUUAAACUUGAUAUGUGCAUGCUUUGUCAUUGCCCAAAAUGAGAAGAAAACCUUGUUUUGAUCUUCAAUGGAUUGAAAUGUGCUUGCCUUGUCAUUGCCCAAAAUGAGAAGAAAAACUUGUGUAAUCCUCCAAGGGUAUUUCUUUUUAUUUUGUUGAGUCACACACCAUGUGUACAAUUUGUAUGACACGUGGCAUAUGCCAUGUAUGCCUUGACACGUCAAAAUUUUAAUGCGUUGGUGAACAUUUAUUUCACCGCAAUUUCGAUGUCUACAAAUGCCCCCACUUCAAGGUGUGUCGUAUACAUGUGCUUGUCACGUGUAGGAGAUGCGUUUUGAAGUCCCUUACUGUAAAUGUCAAUCCAAGGGCUAUCGAGGCUUGAUCUUGAAUUGGGCUGGAGAUUUCUUCAAGGGCCGUUGAGGCUUGUUCUUGGACUUUGUUUGAAAUUUCUUCAAUGGCCGUCGAGGCUUGAUCUUGAAGGUUGAAAUUGGACCACAAGGAGUUUUAUGUGGUAGAUGAUCUUUGGCUUUGGUAGUGGAUGAAUCGGCACGUAUUUGUUUUUGCGUUUUGUUGACUUUCCACAGCUUUGAUCUUGAACUGGGUUGGAGGAUUUUUUGGAUUCCUCCAAUUGUUGAUUUUCUACAACUUAUUCUUGAACUGGAUUUUGAUUCAAAUAUGGUGGACGCUUGAUCUUGAAUCGGACUUGUGAUUUCCUCAAGGGCCGUCGAGGCUUGAUCUUGAAUUUGGCUGGAAACUUCUUCAAGGGCCGUUGAGGCUUGAUUCUUGAAGGUUGACUCGAACACAUGGCAAGCAGGCACGAGGUGAAGGUGACGACUUGUUGCUUUGUUCAAUCUUUCUAAUUCACACCUGAGCAGUUUGGUCAACGGUAUGAUCUUCAAGAUUGAUGGGCUCUUCUUCCAGUUGGUGACUUGAUCUUUAAGGAUUUGAUUCAAGGGUGGUGAAACGGCACAUGCAGCCCACAACGCCUAGCAAGUCGACCCAAGAAUUUGAGGGUCAAAACGAGUCCUCCACCCAGAGUGAUUGCAAACCUGAUGAUAUGAGAUACUUUUGAUUUUGAAGAAGUAGCGGAUGAAUCGGCACGUGCUUUGUUGUGCUUGUCUCCACAUGCUUCAAUGUAUCAUUUUCCCUUGUCUUAUCUAUUCUUCUAGCAGAAUGUAACAUCUUCUCGAGUUCUUCAGCUCAGACUCCUUCUGCUGAGUUGACUGUGCAGGCUGCAUUAUUCUCUGCUUGUUUCUUUAGGCAGAUGUGGCAGUUUCUUGAGUUCCUCAGCUCGAACUCCUUCUGCUGAGCUGACUGUGAAGACUGCAUUCUUCUCUGCUUGUUUCUUCUGCACGUUGUCUCCACAUGCUGCAAGGUAUCAUUUUCACUUGCCUUAUCUGUUCUCCAGGCAAAUGUGGCAUCCGAGUUUGAGUGGAGGUUCCGGCAUAUUGUUUUCUUUAUCCUUGUCUUUGUAGGUAAGAACAAGGACAAAGGAAAGGACAGGGAGAACGCAUGAUAUGAGAUACUCUUGCUUUCUACCCUGGUGAUAUGAGAUACUUUUGCUUUGGUGUCAUUUGUUUGCAGAGGUACCCCAAGGAAUAAGAAACACUGAGUGACUCGAGAGGCUUCGUUGGGAAGGCAUUCUCGGAGAUGAAGAAAGGUUCUCGGAGAUGAAGAAAGGUUAUGUAUGUCUGCCUUGCUAUGGAGGGUGAAGGUGGACAGUUAUAGGAAAUUCUUUAGUACCUGUAGAGGUACUAUUCUUUUACUCGUGUCGGCAACCAAUGCGUGAUUGAUCAGUAUGGCUUCACGUGCUUUCUUCUUUAUCAGAAAUCUUCGACAAAUUGUCCGUAAUUUUCGUCAAGCUGAGUGUGCAUGUGACAGGUGUUGACGAGGCUGAAAAAGACUGGCGCCUCUUCGAUAUCUGGGAUCGGCGCUUCGACAAAUUGCCCGUGAUUUCCGCAAAGCUGAGUUUGCGCGUGACGGGUGCUGACGAGGCUGAAAAAGACUGGCGCCUCUUCGAUAUCUGGGAUUGGCGCUUUAACAAAUUGCCCGUGAUUUCCGCAAAGCUGAGUUUGCGCGUGACGGGUGCUAACGCGUCUGGAAAAGCAAGAUGCUUCUCCGAUUUCUGAGCUUGCCUCUUCGAUUUUUGAAUUGGCCUCUUCGAAUUCUGAGCUCGCCUCUUCGAUCUCUGAAAUCCCGUCGAGUGUUGAUUUUUUAUAGAGGCACGCAGUUCGUUUCAAAGCACACUUGAAUUUUCGCUUGUAGAAACUCCCUUCUUGCACUUCUAAGAUCUUGAUUUGUCCGACCUCUUCUUUCUUCAACACCUUUGAAAAUGUCUGGACCCUCCGACCGUCGUUUUGAUUUGAACCUUGGUGAAGAGGUAGUCCCGUCUUCUCCAGAUAACAUAUGGCGCCCAUCCUUCAUAUCCCCUACUGGUCCUCUUACCGUUGGGGAUUCGGUGGUGAAGAAUGAUAUGACCGCUGCGGUGGUGGCCCGAAACCUUGUCACUCCCAAAGAUAACAGACUACUUUCCAAACGGUCUGAUGAGUUGGCUGUUAAGGAUUCUCUGGCUCUCAGUGUGCAGUGUGCAGGUUCUGUGUCUAAUAUGGCCCAACGCCUAUUUGCUCGAGCCCGUCAAGUUGAAUCAUUGGCGGCUGAAGUGAUGAGUCUCAAACAGGAGAUUAGAGGGCUCAAGCAGGAGAAUAAACAGUUGCAUAAGCUCGCACAUAGCUAUGCGACAAACAUGAAGAGGAAGAUUGACCAGAUGCAGGAAUCUGAUGGUCAGAUUUUACUUGAUCAUCAGAGGUUUGUGGGUUUGUUCCAGCAGCAUUUGCCUUCGUCUUCUGGGGCUGUAUCGCGUAAUGAAGCUCCAAAUGAUCAACCUUUGGCUCCUCUUCUUCUUGGAGUUCCGCCGAGUGGUGUGGCUUCAAACAGUCAACCUCCAGCGCCUCUCAUUUCUGGAGCUCUGCCGAGUGGUGAGGCGGCACCUGAUCGUCCUUGAAGAUCCCCUCUUGUAAAUUUGAUUUGUUUUUUUUUUAAAGUAUGUAUAAUGCAAAUUUAUGUAAAAUUUCCAGAAAAAAUAAAUAAAAACGGACUUUAUUUCUCUCAAUGCAUUUGUUUUGUUUUUUUUUUUUUUUUUUUUUUGUAAAUACAUAAUAACAUAUGUAUUUAUUUAUUUAUUCUUUUGUAAUAAAAUUGACUUUCUUUAAUAAAACUUUUAUUUUUUUUUAUUUUGAUAUGACUGAACUCGAAAUUGAAUGUUCGAGCCGCCUACGUACCUUUCCAAAGAAGAGAUCAAGCCAUAACGUAGUUCAAAUGAGUGAUGAAUUUAACAGUGAUUUUGAUGAUGAUUUUGCCGUACACAGUUUAUGCUCUUGCGGGCCAGGAGCUUUGGUGUUGCCUUUUAUGCUCGUGCAAACCAAGAGCGUUGAUGUCGCCUUUUAUGCUCGUACGGGUCAGGAGCGUUGAUGUUGCCUUUUUAUGCUCGUGCAGACCAGGAGCUUUGUGCCAUGCAGUUUAGACUCGUGCGGGGCAAGGAGCUUUGGUUUCGUGCAGUUUAGGCUCGUGCGAACAAGGAGCAUUGGUUUGUGCAAUUUUAUGCUCGUGCAAGGGCUUGGAGGAGAAUUUUGAAUUUUAUCAGCUCGUUUAAACAGGUUCGGGCAGUUUUGGGGGAGGAGAAUUUGGAAUUUCAAUCACAAUCACAUUUUUAGCAAGGAGCCUUGACCGAGUGAUUGAAGAAGUCUUUGGAAAGAAAUCGCGCAUCGUGAUGGGGAUGGACGAUCUAUGUGUUGAAAUUUCAUCAUCUUCAACACGUUCACGUUGCUUUGAAGGUUGACAAGAGCUGCUUUGCCCCCUUUCCGAUUGGCGGACUUGUGGAUGAGAUGUAUGCUUCUUGUGCAAUUUCUUAGGAGUGAACUUUGCUUGUCUUAGGAUGCCCCUGCCUGAGGUUGAGGUAAAAAUUUUGAGUCAAAAGAGCCAGAAGUGAUGGUGGUAUAGUUUGACUUCACCACAUCGUCAAAAUCUAGCUCGAUGAUUCCUUUCUGAGCCAGCUUCAUGAUGAGAUCUUUCAGCACGAAGCACUUUUCUGUCGGAUGACUGAUGAAGCGGUGGAAUUUACAGUACCUUGGACUGUCGGUGCGAUUCAUCUCUUCUGGCCGUCUGCACUCAGGCAAGCCGAUCACCUUCUUUUCCAGCAAGUCUUCUAACAUGGCAACCACAUCAGAGUCGGGGAAUGGAUAAGUUUUCUCCUCAAGCUCCUUCAAAAUGCGUCUACUCAUCUCUUGAUCACGCAAAGCUUCAGCUUGAAUUGCCUUGCCUCGUGUAGGGAUUUUGACGGGAGAUGUGUUGACUGUCAUUGCUUCCUUGGUGGAUUUCCACGUAGAAUCUCCACCUUUGUCUCAAGAAUUUUGUCGUUCUUGUAGUCGGCGAUCGGUUCCUUCUUCCCAUGAUGGGCGAUGCUCAACUCCAUAUCAUGGGCGCGGGUGGCUAAUUCCUCGAAGGUCCGUGGUUUAAUGCCUUGAAGGAUGUAUUGCAAACCCCAUUGCAUGCCUUGGAUGCACAUCUCGAUUGAAGAGGUUUCCGAUAGCCUGUCUUUACAGUCGAGGCUUAGAGUGCGCCAUCUGUUGAUGUAGUCAAUGACUGGCUCGUCCUUCCACUGCUUUGUGCUCAUUAGCUCUAGCAUGCUCACAGUGCGGCGGGUGCUGUAGAAACGGUUGAGGAAUUCCCUUUCCAACUGUUCCCAGCUGUUGAUGAACUCAGGCUCUAGGUCCGUGUACCACUCAAAGGCGUUUCCUUUCACCGAGCACACAAACUGCUUGGCGAGGUAGUCUCCCUCCGUCCCCACGUUGUUGCAAGUUUCGACGAAAUGUGCAACGUGCUGCUUUGGGUUUCCUUUUCCAUCAAACUGCAUGAACUUUGGUGGUUGAUAUCCCCUCGACAUCUUUAGGGCAUCAAUCUUUUUUGAAUAAGGCUUUGAGUACAACCUGGAGGUAUUUGAGCUCCCUUCGUACUGUGCCUUGACGGUGCUGGCAAUCAUCUCUUGCAACUGCUGGAUAGAAAGAGAUCUCAUGAGUGCCGCUUCUUGGUCUGGCUCCGGCUUCACAUCGAUUCUCUCCACCAUAGGCUCAUCUUCUGGGUUAGGGUUUUAGCCGUCCUGUGGCUCCAGUCAGCUAACGAGUGCAGCGAUUUGCAAGUCUUUUUCUUCCACAAUCUGUGUUAGCCUUGCAAUUGCUUCAUUAAUUUGAGCCAGUUGUUCUUCAAUAGAGGUAACGCCGAUAGUCAUGACUUGUGCGACCAAUAGACGUGACUUUCCUUUAGACAUCCAGGAUGCUGAUGAAGAACGUCGUUGGCUGCUUUGGGAUGUCAUCUUGUGUGCCUCAGCAUCAUGCUUUGGUGCCCCCAGCGAGGUCAGGUUGAUGACAGACUCACACCUUUGAUGCUCCCCUUUUUAGCGGCACCAAUUUUGAAGUGGCAUUUUGAGGAGCAGUUGUGGCGCCAAUGGAUUGUCCGUUUGCGGCAGAAGUGCUUAGGAUCCUUCCCUCAGUGGUUGCGAGAACGGCUUGUCCCUUGCUUGAUGCCAUUGACUUUGAGGUGUGUUUGGAUUCCUUGAACGGAGAAAGAGAUGAGAGGUAGAGAUGGUCCCACCGGGCGUGCCAAUUUGUGAACACGGAAAAUUCCUGAAACGAAAGAGACAAGAACAACGUGCACAAAAUAAUAUUAUGUAUUUGAUGAUUUUGGGUUACAAUCUCUCUCUAUUUUGAUCUUCUGAUUCGAUCUCCGUAAGGUGUUGAUUUGUGGAUGUUUCGUUGAUCCAAGGGCCGUCGAGGCUUGAUUUUGGAUGAACUGUUGGAAGUUUCUUCAAGGGCCGUGGGCUUGAUCUUCGAAGGUGGAUUUGAGCGAAUCUUCAAGGAGCCGUUGGGGCUUGAUCUUGCGGAUGAGUGUUUCUUCAAGGGCCGUUGAGGCUUGAUCUUGAAUAACGGUGAUGAGCGGAUCUUCAAGGGCUUUUGGGCUUGAUCUUGAAGAACAGUGAUGAACGGAUCUUCAAGGGCUUUUGGGCUUGAUCUUGAAGAACGGUGGCUUGUUGAUCCAAGGGUCGUCGGGGCUUGAUCUUGGAAGAACGAUGAACGAAGAACGAAGAACACUUUAUUCAAGGGCCGUCGGGGCUUGAUCUUGAAUUGGUGGAUGAUUGUUGAUCCAAAGGGCCGUUGGGGCUUGAUCUUGGAAGAACGAUGAACGAAGAACGAAGAACACUUUCUUCAAGGGCCGUCGGGGCUUGAUCUUGAAAGAACAGUUGUGUGGAUUUAUUGAUGUUGUUGAUCCAAAGGGCCGUUGGGGCUUGAUCUUAGGAUGAACAGUUGUGUGGAUUUGUUGAUGUUGUUGAUCCAAAGGGCCGUUGGGGCUUGAUCUUUUGAUGAACAGUUAUGUGGAUUUGGUGAUGUUGUUGAUCCAAAAGGGUCGUCGGGGCUUGAUCUUUUGAUGAACAGUUGUGUGGAUUUGUUGAUGUUCUUGAUCCAAAGGGCCGUUGGGGCUUGAUCUUAGGAUGAACAAUUGUGUGGAUUUGUUGAUGUUGUUGAUCCAAAGGGCCGUUGGGGCUUGAUCUUAGGAUGAACAGUUAUGUGGAUUUAUUGAUGUUGUUGAUCCAAAGGGCCGUUGGGGCUUGAUCUUAGGAUGAACAGUUGUGUGGAUUUGUUGAACACUUUCUUCAAGGGCCGUCGAGGCUUGAUCUUGAAUUGGUGGAAGUUCUUCAAGGGCCGUUAGGGCUUGAUCUUGAAGGAGGAUUUGACGAAGAACGAAGAGGGCUUUCUUGAUCCUUCGGGAUUUGCUGGAAUUUGGGAGGUUGGAUGCUUGAAAGCUUUAGAGUUUCAAAGCUUCAAGGAUUUUGGAUGUGUGGGGAGUAUUCUCUUCCAUUUUGGGAGUAGAGAAAUGUAUUUGUGAAUUGGUUCAUGAUACCUUGAUGUAGAAGCCUAUUUAUAGGCUUUGAGAAUGAAUCACCACCACAAAAUAUUUUUUUCUUUUCCAAGCACCAUUGCCUAAUUUCCCACUUAAUACAAUUUUAAACUUGAAGUGGUAAUUUUAUGGCCUAAUUUUCCACUCAAUAUCAUUUUAAACUUGAUAUGUGCACGCUUUGUCAUUGCCCAAAAUGAGAAGAAAACCUUGUUUUGAUCUUCAAUGGAUUGAAAUAUGCUUGCCUUGUCAUUGCCCAAAAUGAGAAGAAAAACUUAUGUAAUCCUCCAAGGGUAUUUCUUUUUAUUUUGUUGAGUCUUUUUAUUUGUUGAGUCACACACCAUGUGUACAAUUUGUAUGACACGUGGCAUAUGCCAUGUAUGCCUUGACACGUCAAAAUUUUAAUGCGUUGGUGAACAUUUAUUUCACCGCAAUUUCGAUGUCUACAAUUAUGACUCUUACUUCUAGGUCUCUCCUUCCUCCUACAGUGUUUCAUUUCCACUUAUUAUAUUCAAUUUAUUUAUUUUUAUUUUUUUUUUGAGAAACCUUGAUGAUACGAGAGAUUUUAUUGAUAACGAGAAAAUAAGUUACACCUAGUUAGAGGGAUAUAAACUUUAUCUCUCAUAAAACAGAGACAACAAAAAAGAAUAUACGAAAAAGAAGGGGGACAUAAACCUUUCCCUUCCCUUCUAAAAAAAAAAAAAAAAAACAAGGAUGAUACAAAGAAAAGGGCCGGAUCCUUUUCCUAGGGAUCUCGGGAUCUCACCCGUUCAUCGUAUAUCGUACGAUUAGUUGUCGUUAGGUAUUAUUCAUAUUUAAUUUUAAAUUUUAAAUUUUGAAAUGAUUUCUGACCGCAUGAUGUACGAUGAAUGGAUGAGAUCACAGGAUCCCUAGGAAAAGGAUCAUCGCCAGAUCCUUUUCCAGAAAAGGGGAGAACAUGAAACCUAACCCUUCUAAAACCAAACCUAAAGGUCUAAACCUGAAAAACAAGUUGAACAUCACCAUAAAGUUAGGGAAAAAAAAGCAAGUGAAACAAACUUGGAUGCCGAGAUGCACAUUAAUUUGUGAAGCGGUAGUUAGGCAAGCCAACAUAGUCUGAAAACAAAACAGUAUGAGCCGCUGGCAGAGGAAAAUCAUGUCAUAAUAAAGAUGGAGAAAACUAGCCCAAAUUAGCAAAAUUGUCCGCAACAAGAUUUCCUUAGUAAUAUAUGUGAGAUGCGUAGAAAGUCAUUUUCCAAAUGCAAUCUAAACAUAUAGACCAUUGCGUACGAAGAUGCUAAGAAGGAUCAAAAUUAGACAGUCGAAGAGCAUAAAUAACACUAAAACUGUCACUUUCCAACCAAAGACAAUGUCAACCCUGUUGAUAUGCAAACUCUACACCAAUAAUAAUUAGUGAUAAUUCUACAAAAAAAAAAUUGCGAUGACUAAUCCAUUCACAGAAACCUCCAAGAAAAUGCUGAUAAUUGCCGAUAAUUCUGAUAUUCGAUUCAACCACUUAUCUUCUUGUAAAAAAUGUUGGCCUUGUUGGUACAGGUAAUGGCAUACUUUCAAUUGGCAACAUAGAUAUGACAUCGGACGUGGUGGGCCGAUCAGUUGCAUCUUCUUCCAUGCAUAGCAGACCAACAUUGAUGCAUCUUAUGAACUGAUCUGAAGUACAUGAAUUGUCUUGCAUUGGAUCAAUUAAUUUUAAAGAGGAAACAUUUUAAUCAUUUAGGAUAUCAGAUUCUCUAAAUCUCACUCAAAAAUCUCAACAUUUUAAUCAUAAGAAAGAUUACAUUUUUAUGACUACUUUGAGCAUACAUGGUGAAUUGGAAUUUAUUAUAUUUUCCUUCCAGACUAUAUCAAUUAAACUGCGGUCAUUAAUGGAGACAUUGAUUUAGAUCUAUUUUCCCCCCAAUUGGUUCCACUAAGAUGGACAUUAUUAAUCUCUGCAAAUAUAAACUCGAAGCUACAUAUGUCAGAUUUUGUUAGUCUGUAUUGGACAUGCCAUGGUAUAUAGACAUGUAGUCUCUGCAUUAUAGCUACGAUUUAGUGACAUACAUAUUAGUGACCAAAAGUGAAUGAUGAGAUAAGAAUGCACUUCUUAUUUAUAACUUACUAUGUCCCAUCUAUCCUAUUUGUGCUUCCUUCGAGUUCAUAAUGCGUGAAAAUCCUUACCAUACCAAAGUCAGAAAUUAUGAGGUUCAUAUUUCCAUCUUACUAGUUUUAAGAUCUCUAUGAAUAACCUUCAAUCUUGAAUAUUUGUGUAAAGCAAUACCAGAGCAUUUCCGGCAAUUAUAUUGAAACGCUUCUUCCAAUCUAGUAUACUGCUUCUCUCUGAAUCUGAACAAUACAUAGAGAGAGUAAGAUAAUGCAUUUUUCAAUAUCAGAUUACAGUGAUAGCAUCAAUUCCCAAACAAAUAAAACGCAGUUUAGACUUCUGUUUGGCAUACUAGCUUCUAAUGUACACCAGAAUGCAAAGCCCCAAAAGUUGAACAAGGUUCGUAUGUUGAAGUUCAGAUAUGAGUUUCACUUCAUUCUUAAACUCCAAUGUUCCUUGCACCAAACAUUUUUGUCAUCCACCACUUUGUUAGUGAAUUGUUGUAGGUGAAUAGUUGGUGACCUUGUAAUCCACCACUUUGCUAGUGAUUUGUUGUAAGUGAAUUAUUGGUGGUUUUGUCAUCAACCGCUUGUUUCUUCUUCUCCUUUCAACGUGUGGGCAUCCAUAUUAUUACAACAAUUGGAGAAAUUUUUCAUUGUGACUAGGUGUUUUUAUGUAAGUGGUGAGAAAUUUUAUUUUUUAAAUUGUUAACUUUUUAACACACAUAUCCUACCAAUUAUAUAGUGAUACGUGGUGUAUCACUCCGUGUUGCAAUCACACUAAAUAAUCUCUCCAACAAUUGACGAUUUUUUUUUUCCAAUGGUUUCAUUUUGUCAAACAUAUUUUUCUAUUGAUCUCGGUAGUCGCGUGCACCUAGUUUUCUCUUUUUUUUUUCUAUCCUUUUCUUUUCCAUUUAUUUACUUUACCAAGAAAUGAAUGAAAAUUCUCGUCAACGUUAUCCUUUUUUGAGCUAAGAAACUUGAUCUGUCUACAUUAAAAAACAGAGAAAGAGAGGGCUAGGAUGCUAGAAGGAACGGAUAAAAACUGGAGGAAUAAGGAAACAAGAACAGAAAAGAGAAAAAAGAGGGGGAAAGAAAGAAGGGAGAACAGCCAAAAGAGAAAUAGGGGGAGAGAGACGGGUCACCUGUACAGAGCCCUAUAUUGACAGACAGCUCGUGAGUUAAUCCUGUGCCCCUAACUCCCCUUUUCUUAUCCUCCAUUUGAGUUGCGAGAAAAUCCGGGAAAAUUGAACACCAUGUUUGAAUUUGGUUGCUACUGGUGAAUAUAUUCCUCAUGAUCACAUUUGUGUAUCUUUUUCUACUUUUAAGGUUAAACUAAUAUAAACUGCAGAGUUGUUUUUGAAUCAGCUAGCUCACGCUGCAUGGCAACAAAUUAGGACCACAGCGUUUCCUUUUUCUUAAUGUGUAGGAAUUGGAAUUGGCACUUUGUGAUGAAAUAUGUAAGUUGUUUCACCCUUCGAGUUUCGAAGGCAGGACUUGAUGGAAUUCAAAACGGCAACGGCUAGCUUUUAGUUUAAUUUGUAACGGCUACUUUGUUUUUUUUUUUUUUCUUGUAACGGCUACUCUCUGAUAAGGCUAGCAGGUAAAGGCUUAGUCAUGUAGGGUACGUGUAAGGCUUAGAUUAGAACAGAUAAAAGGCUAGGAUUGCUUAAUGCAACUGUAGCCUUGACUACCCUUGUACUUCUGCUUAUAUGCAGAGAAGAAUGUUGGAGAAUGAUGAUGAAUGAAAUGCAGUAGAGCAGCAACGUUUCGCUUACUGAAAUUCCUGACUAAAAAUCCAUUUUCCUUUAUUUAUUUUUUUCAUCACAAAUCACCACAAACAUCAUAAUCAAAACUCUAACAAUUUGUUUGUUGCAGGCAUGGGAAUUAUGGAAGGAAGGCACAGUUCUAGAAUUAAUGGAUCCAACAUUAGGCGAUUCAUGUAUCAAAGAUCAAUUGUUAAGAUGCGUUCACGUUACUCUGCUAUGCGUGGAAGAAACUGCAGCUGAUCGGCCUACCAUGUUCGUAUCUAUGUUGACAAAUCAAAGCACACCAUUGCCAUUACCUGGAAAGCCAGCAUUUUUUACAGGAAGAAAUGUGGUUGAAGCUGGUCUGAGUGGAAAAAAAUCAGAAAUUUUUUCCACAAAUGAGUUGUCCAAUUCCACUGAUGUCCCACGAUGAAUUAACAUAGUAUUAUGUUUACGGUUUUGAAAGGAAUCAGAUAUUGAACCUUUGGCGAGAUUCUUCCCCACACCCGUUCAGUAAUCUACUUCAGUUGCCUGUAUUUUUACUUGCUUUUAUUUGUAUGGUGGAACUCAUUUAGUUGGAAAAUUACUUUUUCCAGACUCUAAUUUACCUGUGGUAAGAUCAAUUAUAAUGGCUGUUGGCAUUGUGCUCUCUGUUCUCUGCUGUAAGCCUGUAAAACGUUCAUUUAUAUAUAAUAACAAAUAGAUUAAGCAAGAUGAACGAUACUAAUGUUAUGUGUUUAAAGAAUCUACCUGAUCAGGGUACGCAGCAGUGGUAGUAGUGCCAAUUCAUACGAUCCUCUUACAAUUUUAUAAAAAUAAUUUCAUGUCCACACAACUCAAACCCUUUAACCAUACAAGGUCAUACAUUCCUUUUUCCUAAAGCCAGCAAGGGACAGUAGUUAAUUAAGGACCUUUUGGCAUAUAUAUAGAUUUACCAUAAAUACUGACAUGGGUUGAAAUAUCAAGUGAAAUAUCGAUGAUAUGACAGAAAAAAGAAAUUAUACGAGUGCAUAAACUGAAAGGAGAAAUUAUAUUAUAAAAACGUAACAAACUUUUACAAGGAACACAAAGUUACAUUGAAAAUAAAACAUCAGAUAAUUACGGUUGAUGUGCCUCUGAGGAAACAGCUUAGUGAGUUAGCCACCUUCUUCCUCAGGCCCAAGGUCUCAAAUCAAAAUUUAUUUUCCAGAUCAAGUAUCUUUACACCUAUGGAAGCGAGUAUAUUGAGGAACACCAGACAUGUUAGUACUAUACCUUCAUCUUCCUACUAUGUCAGAAUAGGACAAGCCAUUUCCUGAUAAAACUUUUGAUUUGUUUCCACAUAUUGUAUUCAAUUCAAGCUCUUUUCUUCCUGUAAAAAAUGCUGGCCUUGUUGGUACAGGUAACGACGUGCUUUCAUUUAUCUACAUACAUAUGACAUCGGACAUGGUGAGCUGAUCAGGUGCAUCUUCUUCCACGCAUACCAGACCAACAUUGAUGCAUCUUAUCAACUGAUCUUCGUACAUGAAUCGCCUAGCAUUGGAUCCAUUAAUUUUAGCCGUGCACCUUCUUUCCAUAGCCCCAAGCCUGAAAUAACCUUAUAUUCAUUUAGGAUAUCAGACUCUCUAAGUCUCACCUCAAAGAGGAAACAUUUUAAUCAUAGAAGGAUUUUAUUUGACAUACCUAUCUAACUAUAUUGAGCACGCGAUCAUUGUAGAUGCUAUUAUUUUUCGUUCCAGAUAAUCUCAAGUGUUAAUACUCCAAAGCUAUAACGUCAGAUUUUGUAGAAAAGUUUUCCCCCAUGGCAUACUCAGGAGAUAGGUCACCAUACAUACAUAAAUGCAUGAUUAGUAACCAAAAUUGAAUGAUGUGAUUAGAAUGGACUUCUUAUUUAUAACUUAUUAUGUCCCAACAACAUAUUCGUUAUGCGUGAAAAUCCUUGCCAUACCAAAGUGAGAAAUUUUGGGGAUUUUAUUUUCAUCUAGUAUGUUACUAGCUUUGAAACCUUACCUUAUAAACAGGUCCAAACCCCAAAAGUCGAACAAGGUUCGUAUGUUGAAGUUCAUAUAUGAGUAUUCAUUCUUAAACUCCAACGUUCCUUGCACCAAACAUCUUUGUUAUCCACCACUUUGUUAGUGAUUUGCUUUAAGCGAAUUAGUAGUGGUUUUGUCAUCUACUGUUGGAUUUGUGGCUCAUGUAGUAGGCCUUUGUAUUUUGUGAGCCCAACAGCCCAAAUUGUUUUGGCCUCAAUUAUCCAUGUGAAAGAGUGGGUAGGGUUCCUGAUGCCUGAUGGUUUAAUUGGCAGCAGCCUUAUAUAAGGCUUGAUGCCUUUUGUUUUAAGAGCAGCCAACAGCUCUAUUGGAAGAAAAGAAUGAGAGCGAUCCCCCUAUGUUGGUAAUCACUCAUUCAAAGGUACUGAUGUUGCUUUUGUGGUUUUUGGGACAGAAGGAGUUUAGUACGUAUUUUCAUCAUCUCCAUUUGUUUUUUGUUUGAGUGAGAGCUUCGGAGUGUAUGCGGGAGAGUUUAAAACUCUAUUUGUAAUCUUCAUUUUGAUUAUUAGUGAAAUAUUAUGGUCGUCUCCAAAUUAGACGUAGGCUUACGUCGAGUCAGUACAAACCCUUAUGUCACUUUAGGUUGUUUGUCUUGUCAUAUAUUUCUGUAUUAGUUAUUGGUUUCAUAUUUGAUGCUUCACCACAACAUCCUCCACCACUUUGUUAAUGAUUUGAUAUCAGUGGAUUAUUUGGUGGUUUUGUCAUCCACCACUUGUUUCUUCUUCACCUUUCAAUAUGUGGCCAUCCAUAUUAUUAGAAUAAUUGAGUCUGUUUUUACUUUUCCCUAAUAAUUUAAUUUUGUCAAAAAUAUUUUUCUAUUCCUAUCAGUAGUCGUUUUCCCUUAUUUUCAUUUUGUUGGUGCACAAAAUCAGUGGGGAUUUUGGUACAACAGAAAGUGUUAAGUUUGUGACCUUCGUUAGAUUGCUUCGGUCACUAGUGUGGAUAAGUAUGUAAAUGGAUAGAGACAGGAAAGCAAACACAAGAUGUACGUGGUUCACCUAGAUUGGCUAUGUUCACGGAGUAGAAGAGUUCUCAUUAAUUGUGAAGGGUUUACACAAGUACAUAGGUUCAAGCUCUCCUUUAGUGAGUAUUAGUGAAUGAUUUAGUACAAAUGACAUUAGGAAAUAUUGUGAGAGAAUGAUCUCUAUUUAUAGAAGAGAGUUUCUAGUUCCAUUCUGACAUUGACGCGUGUCGUGUUGUGAUUGGCUUCUGAUGUUGACACGUGUCGCGCUAUGAUUGGCUUCUGAUGUCGACACGUGUCGCGCUGUGAUUUGCCUCCUGGUUGGAGGGAAACUCUUCUGGGUCCUUGACGGUAUAACGUUGAUCGGUGCUCAGUAGUUUCGGGAUUGGUCAAGUAUGGUACAAACACAUUUCUUUUUCAUUUCCACUUAUUUACUUCAUCAAGAAAAGAAUGAAAAUUCUCAUCAAAUAAUAUCCUUUUUUUAGCAAAGUCUACAUUAAAAAGAGAGAGAGAGAGAGAGAGAGAGAGAGAGAGAGAGAGAUGGCCUUAGAACCCUCGAUCGUAAUAAUAUCCUUUUUUGAGCAAAAUCUACAUUAAAGAGAGAGACAGGACCUUAUGACCCUCUAUAAAGAACAAGACUUGGCUGCUGAACAAUUCAGCAAUCCCUCCUGCGUGUCGACACGGGAUUGGGUAAGCAGGAGUGGUUGCUGAAUUGUUUAGCAUCCAAGUUAAUUCCCUCUGUAAAAGGGGAAAAACUGGAGGACGACAGAAGAAAGAAAAAAGAAAAAAAAGGGGGAGAGAGAAUAGAGGGGAGGACAACUAAAAGAGAAAAAGGGGUUUUCCAAAAAAAAAAAAGGUGGGAGAGAGACGGAUCACUUGCACAGAGCCCCUUAUCAAAGAAAGGGGAGAAAAAUGAUAAGGUAACAGAGAACAAAAUUUUAAAUUAAAUUUGUAAAUUGAAAACUGUGAACUAAUAGGAAAUAAGCACGUUAAUCAACAUUUAAAUUAAUAAUCUAAGUAUUAAUAUUCACAUCAUUUGAUUUACAAAUUUUAGUUUAAAUAUUUAGUCUCCCUAGUAUUACCCUGAGAAAAAACUAGGAUUGGAGUUCGCCCGCAAGUUUUGAUCGAUAAUAGUAAAAAAUUAACACUCAAUUUCAUAAAUGUCAUUUUUUAUAAAAUCUUUCAAAAAUAAUAGAAAAUUCACUAAAAUAGACUUAAAUACCUUCAAAAUUAAACCUAAUAAACAUAAGGAUGUAGUUGAUAAUGUAAUGGAAAACAUCCUCAUUGCGGCCUCUUUAUAACUAUGUAGUUUUUCAAUAAGGAAAAAAAAUCAGUUGGAAGGAGGUCUGUGAGAUUUCGCAAGUGUUUGUCUUGAGAUUGAUCAAUGCCCAGCUUUAUAAAAACACAAAUAAAUCAGAAAAAAAAAAAUUAUCUGCUAGGAUUUGAUAUGUGAGUUGCUGAUUGGGAAUAAUAUUGUCGAUUGUGAGACAAUAUUAUCCAUCUACUAUUUACUUUGGUUCCUCCUCAUUCAAUCAACCAAAAGAGCAAAUGUAUGGACACAUUUGGGCACGAGAUAGAGUCCAAAAUUACAAGCUAGCUAGUCAGUCAGCACAGUGGACAAACUGCUGAAUAAUCGAAGGAACUAUACACAAGUUAAAUGAAACAGAAACCGGUUUAGGCUCAGUUACUGCAGCAAAUGGAGAAAGAUACGAAUGACUGCAAUCUUGAAUCUCCGACUUUCUUGAAUUUCUUCCUAUAUAUGGAUGGAUGGCCGCUAAUAUUCGGACAAGUCGAUUAUGUUCAAGAAUUUCACAGGAUUUUUCAUAUGCUUUACGACCUCUUCUGCAAUUCUAUUCUUCUUGGAGUAAGAAGAGCUCAAAGUUUGGAGCGGUUGAGUUGCUCCCUUACAACUCCCACCAGAAUUCCAUUAACCCAUUUCGGAGAAAGAGAAAGAAAGGGAAAAUGCAGAGAAAUUAAGAAAAGUAAAUAACAAUAUUCUUCAUUCAUACCUUCUUUACAUCAGAAAAGGAUUUAAAUACAUAUAAAGAUAAUAGGGUUUGAAGUGUAAUAGGCCUAACGGAAAUACAUGUAAUGGGCCUAAUUAGUCAUAACAGAAAUCCAAUAACUUAGAGUCGCAUCAAAACUGGUAUGCACAAGUUUGAUAUAACCAACUCCCCUAGCGACCUCACACUUUGUGCAUCUUUUUCCAAACAAACAUUCUGAUACAUUGAAGAGUUAUUGCUGAACCAGCUCUGCUUGGAAUGGGAUGAUUAAAAACGUACAAGACAAGAAAUUUUUCAUUGUAAUAGGAAUACAAGUAGUACACCACGUGUUUUAAUUGAAGUGGUGAGAAAUUUUAUUUUUUAAGUUAUAAACUUUUUAGCACACAUAUCUCACCAUUUAUAUAAUGACACGUGGUGUACCAUCCAGUGUAUCAGUCAUACUAAAAAAUCUCUUGUACAAGACACACUAUAGCAUAGCAUUGAACGCUAUUAAUGUAAAAACUCAAUUACAGCUGCUGUUGAAAAUCAAACAAAACAGUUGCACAUUCGAAAGAUAAAACCAUGGUAGUUGAAAAAAGGAAAUGAUUGGGCAGACAACUAUUUCAUAUACGUGCAUGAAACAUGUGUAGCUCCAAUCUUAUGAAACCUUUUCCAAAGUUGUGUGCAUUCAUGUUUCAAUGGUACAAAUGGGCCUUCCGUCUUGUUCUACAUCUAUUUGUUGAUUGGUUAUCUUUUUAAAAGUUUUGUCGGCCACAUGAACUAUGAAGUUUAAAUCACUUCACACAUAAAAAUUUGCUUUAGAUUUCCAGUUGAGAGGGUGAGAUGUAGAGCAGAAAGUUGAGAGAGAAAGGCGAGAGAGUGAGGAGAGAUUUUUCAGUGUGAUCGGUACAUCAUAUGUCAUUAUACAAAUUGUGAGAUAUGUAUGCUAAAAAGUUAAAAACUUAAAAAAUAAAAUUCUCUACCACUUCUAUUAAAACACGUGAUAUACUAUUUUAUUGAGAAAUGAUUUCAUUUCAUUGAUUGAAUAAUAAUUAGUUACGCUGAGGUAUAUAUAUAACCUAGAUUUACACAGGUAAAGAAAAUAGUUACAUGGUAACUAUUCUAACAACUAACCAACUUUUACUAAAGCUAGCUUUUACUAUAUUCUUUUACAAUAGUAACUUGCUCUUCACACCCCCUCAAGCUAAAAGGAGAAGGUUGAAGUGAAAGCUUGGAUCGAAGCGAGAAAUCUUGGUCUUGGCAGAGAUUUAGUGUGAAUAUCUGCUAGUUGAUCCGCACUACAUACAAAUUGAACAGUAAGAAGCUUAGCCAAAACGAGCUCUCGAAUGUAAUGAUAAUCGAUUUCAACAUGCUUUGUUCGAGCAUGAAAAACUGGAUUUGAGGCUAAGAUAAUAGCAAAAACAUUGUCACACCAUAUUUGUGGCAAAGAUGACAAUUUGAAUCUAAUAUUAGUAAAAAGUUGACAGAUCCAAGUAAUUUCAAUAGUGGUAUAUGCGAGUGUUCAGUACUCAACUUCAGUGGAGGAUCUUGCAACUGUGUGUUGUUUCUUUGCACUCCAACUAACAAUGCAAAGACCAAGAAAAAUGUAAAACCCACUAGUGGAUCUUCUAUCCCAAGAGUAGUCUACCCAAUCGGCAUCUGAAAAGGCUUUAAGAAGUAGGGGAGAUGUAGUUUUGGGAAACCAUAAUCCAUAACCAAGUGUCCCUUUUAGAUACCUGAGUAUUCGUUUCACUACUUGAAUGUGAGGUUCUCUAGGAGAGUGCAUGACAUGGCACACCAAGUUAACAGCAAAAGACAAAUCAAGCUGAGUCCAUGUAAGGUAUUGGAGGGCUCCAACAAUGGAUCUAUAUCCCUCUGGAUUUGAUAAUAAAGAACUUGUGUGAUCAAGUUUGGCUGAACUAAGUAGAGUGUUACAUGACUUUGCCCCAUCCAUUUUGGUUCUCUUGAGAAGGUCUAGUAUGUGUUUGGAUUGAUGAAUGAAAGCUCCUGAGGUUGAUUUCUGAACUUCCAGACCAAGAAAAUAAUGAAGAUCUCCGAGAUCCUUGACUGGAAAUUGAGAGCUCAACUGAGAAAUGAUGUUGUUGCAAACAAUAGAAAAUGGUCCUGUCACUAUGAUAUCAUCCACAUAAACAAGAACCAAAACCAAAGUACGUUUGUGCAACACAAAAAGACUAUGAUCAGAGCGUAAAGCUUUAAAUCCCAUGGAGAAAAGUGCAAAUUGAAGUUUUUCAUAUCAAGCACGAGGUGCUUGCUUUAAGCAAUAUAAGGAUUUCUUCAAGUGACAGACAUGAGUGGGAUUAUCUUAAUCAAUGAACCCGGGUGGCUGAGCCAUAUAUACAUUCUCUUUCAAAUAACCAUGCAUAAAUGCAUUACUUACAUCCAACUGAUGUAGAAACCAGUUUGAUUGUACUGCUAGAGUGAGAAUAAUUCUUAUAGUCACAAGUUUAGCAACUGGGCUAAAAGUAUCACUAUAAUCAAUGCCUUCUUGUUGAUUGUAACCUUUAGCAACUAGCCAAGCCUUGUAUCGAUCCACAGAACUAUCUGGUUUCCUCUUAAUCCGAAAAACCCAUUUACAUCCAACCAAAUUAUAAAUGGAGGUAGAGGGAACAAGCUGCCAAGUUCCUGUAUUUUGUAAAGCAUUGAAUUCAUCUUGCAUUGUUGCCCUCCACUGAGGAUGUUUUGAAGCUUGGAUAUAUGUAGUGGGAAUAAACUCAUUGUCUAAAUAAGAUGGCACAUGAUGUUUUGUGGUAGUAAAUGCCUUAGGUUUGUAUAUCCUUGACUUGGAUCGUGUUUGGAUUGGGUGAACAAAUGAAACAAAAGGUACAUGAUGUGGUUCAGGGUUUAGAGAAUGAUGGACUUGUAUAGGAGAAGAGUGAGGUGAGGAAGGUUAAGAAACUGGCUCAAGUUAAGUAGGUAAGGAAUGUAUGGGUGUUGUAACAGGGGAAUGGGUAGGAUUAGGAGAAUAAAGAUUGGGGAAUGUGAGUGAAAAGGGUGAGUAAAUUUUUGUGGUAUUUGGAGUGGAGGAUUUAAGAAGAUGUGGAUCAUGAAAGGGAAAAGUUUGUUCAUCAAAAUGGACAUGUCUAAAGAGAUAAACCCGAUUAGUGAAGGGAUCUAGACAUCUAUAACCCUUGUAAGCUAAAUUGUAGCCAAUGAAAACACACAUCUUACUCUUAGGUUCUAGCUUAGAUUUGGUGUAUGGUUUCAGCCAGGGAAAACAUUGACAUCUAAAGACCCAAAAGGAAUUGUAAUCUGGAACUUUUCUGAAAAAUUGUUCCCAAGGAGAAGACUUGUUGACUGGAGGUAGGCGAUUAAUAAGAUACACUGCAAUAAGAAUAGCUUCAACCUAGAAUUUAUGAGGAACCUGUGAGGCAAUGGGAAUAGUUCGAGCAGUCUCAACAAUAUGUCUGUGCUUUCUUUCAGCACAACCGUUUUGCUGAGGAGUGUAAGGACAAAUUAAUUGUUGCUGAAUGCCAUGUAAAGACAAAUGAUGCUUGAACUCAGAACUAAUAAACUCACCCUCUGAGUCUGAUCUUAAAGUGCCAAUCUUGUGUCCAUAAAGAUUCUCAACAAGAGCUUGAAAUUGCACAAAAAUGUGAAACACAUCUGAUUUAUGUUUGAGAGGAUACAACCAAGUAUAUUUGGUAAAAUCAUCUACAAAUAUGACAUAAAAUCGAUAACCACUAAUAGAGCAUAUUGGAGCUGACCCCCAAACAUCUGCAUGAAUUAAUUCUAGAGACCUAGAAGUAAUACAGAGAGAUUCGUGAAAUGGUAACUUGGCACAUUUGCAGAAUGAGCAUGAACCUUCGUUGUAGUAGAAGAAGAAGCAUAAAAUGGAUAGAGACCACAGCUAACAGGAGCUCUAAAAAGCAUCAUCCCCGUAGUAAGAUCCUUGACAUUGAAGUUAAAGGGAUUGAGUGUUAAUGAACGCCAAUUAUCACGCAAAAACAUAUUGGCACAAAGAAGAUCAUGCUUCAAUUGUGGAACAUGUAACACAUUCUUUAAUUGAAAAUUUGCAUAGGGUGUUUUAAGUAAAGUAGAACCGGUAUGGAGAAUUGGCAAACCUUGGCCAUCUCCAAUAUAGACUUUAUCUGGACCAGUAUAAGCCUGCAGGUUCUGAAGAUUUUGAAUAUUGUUGGUCAUAUGAGAGCUUGCUCCGGAAUCAAGUAGCCAUGGUGGAGGAGAAGAAGUGUUGGAAGAUGCAUAAAUCGCAAGUUUAGCUAGCGGAAUAUGGCCUUGAAAAUUUGGAUUCAUGAUGUUGGAACAAUCAAUAGCAAGAUGCCCAGUGUCCUCACAAAUUUGACAUGGAGUUAUUGCAGAGUUGAAAGAUCUGAAGCCACGAUUUCCACCUCGAUUUUCACCAUGGUUGGUUGAGGUAUUAUUGUAUCGAUUGUAUCGAUUACAGUUGUUGUAGCUCUUCUGAGAGUUGUUCCUCUAAAAAUUACCUCGAUUAUUGCUAUUGGCAGAAUUCUAAGAAGCAUUAGACUGAGCAUUGUAUGCUUAAGGCUGUUAAGGUGUAGGAAGCAAAGGAGGAGCAUUUGAAGCUGUUGGAAUAGAGGUAAAGGCCUGAUACAGUUCAGAGGAACCUUGAGUUUGCUUUCGGUGAGCAAGAGCCAUUUCUUUGCUGAGAAGAAAUCCAUGUAAAUCAUCAAUAGUAGUAUCAGCGAGACGAAAUUGAAUUGAAUCCAUGAAGGAAUCAUAUUCAUCAGGCAAUCCAUUAAGAAUGAGGUAAAGGAGAUCUGAAUCAUCAACUGGUGCACCGGCAACAGCGAGAGCAUUUGUAAUUUCUUUGAUGCAUUGCAAAUAUUCAAAGAUUGUGGAAGUUCCUUUUGACAUCGAUUGCAAAUUCGAUAUCAACUGAUGAAUGUGAGAACAAGAGACUCCACCAAAUCGCUUUUCAAGAUUUUGCCAAAGUUCACGCACUGAUUGAACACCAAUAGUAAAGGGAAUCAAAUCCUUAGAGAGAAUGGAAUUGAUCCAAAUGAUGAUGUUUUGAUCUUUUUCGUACCAAAUCUCAAAGGCUGGAUUUGGAAUCGAGGACAAAUUUCUAGAAAUAUCAACAAGAAAUUAAGACGGUGGCGGUUUAGAUCCAUUAACAAUGCCAAUGAGCUUGUAGCAGCGGAAGAUCGGCUCGAACAGAGAACGCCAAACAAGGUAAUUAUGACGCUUGAGUUUUGUUUGAAUCAUACUCCCGAUAUUUUGGAUUGUGAUGGAGUUGAUUGAAGCUUGAAAUGAGGAGUUAGGGUUUGUGUUCAUCGGAGAAGAAUUGAGAUUAGGAGGCAGCGAAGAAGAAGGAUUCGCAAUCAUCAGAGAAGAAGCAGCAUGUGCAGCCACUGGAGAGGAAGAAUGAGAAGAAUUUGCUGCCAUUGAUAAACAAGAUUAAAGGUUUGCAGACGAAAGCUAUGGUGUUUGGUAGGUAAGAAAAUAAGCAAGAAAAUAGCCAAAGAGGAUCGGAGUCGGUGGACUUAGGCGAGAGAUACCAUAUUGAGAAUGAUUUCAUUUCAUUGAUUGAAUAAUAAUUAGUUACACUGAGGUAUAUAUAUAUAUAACCUAGAUUUACACAGGUAAAGAAAAUAGUUAUAGUGGUAACUAUUCUAACAACUAACCAACCUUUACUAAAGCUAGAUUUUACUAGAUUCUUUUACCACAGUAACUUGAUAAAACUUUCAUCUUCCUACUAUACCUUCAUCUUCCUACUAUGUCAGAAUAGGACAAGCCAUUUCCUGAUAAAACUUUUGAUUUGUUUCCACAUAUUGUAUUCGAUUCAACCUCUUUUCUUCCUGUAAAAAAUGCUGGCCUUGUUGGUACAGGUAACGACAUGCUUUCAUUUGUCAACAUACAUAUGACAUCGGACAUGGUGAGCUGAUCAGGUGCAUCUUCUUCCACGCAUAGCAGACCAACAUUGAUGCAUCUUAUCAACUGAUCUUCGUACAUGAAUCGCCUAGCAUUGGAUCCAUUAAUUUUAGCCGUGCACCUUCUUUCCAUAACCCCAAGCCUGAAAUAAUCUUAUAUUCAUUUAGGAUAUCAGACUCUCUAAGUCUCACCUCAAAGUGGAAACAUUUUAAUCAUAGAAAGAUUGUAUUUGACAUAGCUAUCUUACUAUAUUGAGCACGCAAUCAUUGUAGAAGCUAUUAUUUUUCCUUCCAGAUAAUCUCAAGCGUUAAUACUCCAAAGCUAUAUGUCAGAUUUUGUAGAAAAGUUUCCCCCAUGGCAUACUCAAGAGACAAGUAACCACUGAAGGCACGAUUUAGCUUAUACAUACAUAAAUGCAUGAUUAGUAACCAAAAGUGAAUGAUGUGAUAAGAAUGCACUUCUUAUUUAUAACUUAUUAUGUCCCAACAAUCCUAUUUGUGAUGCGUGAAAAUCCUUGCCAUACCAAAGUCAGAAAUUUUGGGGGUUUUAUUUUCAUCAAGUAGUAUGUUACUAGUUUUGAAACCUUACCUUAUAAACAGGUCCAAACCCCAAAAAUCGAACAAGGUUCGUAUGUUGAAGUUCAGAUAUGAGUAUCGAUUCAUUCUUAAACUCCAACGUUCCUUCCACCGAACAUCUUUGUUGUUCACCACUUUGUUAGUGAUUUGUUUUAAGAGAAUUGGUGGUGGCUUUGUUAUUUACUGUUGGAUUUGUGACUCAUGUAAUCGGCCUUUGUAUUUUGUGAGCCCAACAGCCCAAAUUGUUUCGGCCUCAAUUGUCCAUGUGAAAGAGUGGGUAGGGUUGCUGAUGCCUGAUGGUUUAAUUGGCAGCAGCCUUAUAUAAGGCUUGAUGCCUUUUGUUUUAAAUGGAGAGCAGCCAACAGCUCUAUUGGAAGAAAAGAAUGAGAGCGAUCCCCGUAUGUUGGUAAUCACUCAUUCGGUACAGAUGUUACUUUUGUGGUUUUUGGGACAGAAGGAGUUUAGUAUGUAUUUUCAUCAUCUCCAUUUGUUUGGUUUGAGUGAGAGCUUCAGAUUGUAUGUGGGAGAGUUUAAAAUUCUAUUUGUAAUCUUUAUUUUGAUUAUUAGUGAAAUAUUAUGGUUCAAAUUAGACGUAGGCUUACACCGAGCCAGUACAAACCCUUAUGUCACUUUAGGUUGUUGUCUUGUCAUAUAUUUUUGUAUUAGUUUAUUGGUUUCAUAUUUAACACUUCAGCACAACAUCCUCAACCACUUUGUUAAUAAUUUGAUAGAAGUGAAUUAUUGGUGGUCUUUAUAAUCCACCACUUGUUUCUUCGUUCACCUCUCAAUAUGUGGGCAUCCAUAUUAUUAGAAUAAUUGAGUCUGUUUUUACUUUUCCCUAAUAAUUUAAUUUUGUCAAAAAUAUUUUUCUAUUCCUCUCAGUAGUCGUUUUCCCUUUUUUCAUUUCUUUUUCCUUUCCACCUAUUUACUUUAUCGAGAAAAGAAUGAAAAUUCUCAUCAACAAUAUCCCUUUUUAGUCAGGAGGAUCCUUUCCUUGGGCUCAGGAGAGGAUCCAAAUUCCUCUAUAAAAAGGAGGAAAAACUCGAGGACAAAAUAAAAAAGAAAAAAAAGGGGGAGAGAGUAGAGGGGUGAACAGCUAGAAGAGAAAAAGGGGGGAGAGAGACGGGUCACUUACACAGAGCCCCUUAUCAACAGAAAGAAGAGAAAAAUGAUAAGGUUACAGAAAAUAAAAUUUUAAACUAAAUUAGUAAACUAAAAAAUGUGAAUCAAUAGGAAAUGAGUACGUUAAUCAAUACUUCAAUUAAUAAUCUAAUCAUCAAAAUUCACAUAAUUUGGUUUACAAAUUUUAGUUUAAAUAUAUAGUAUCCUUAGCAUUGCCCCUAGAAAAAACUAGGAUUGGCGUAGGCCUAUGAGUUUUGAUCGAUAAUGGUAAAAAAUUAACACUCAAUUUCAUAAAUGUCACUUUUUAUAAAAUCUUUCAAAAAUAACAGAAAAAUCACUAAAAUAAAUUUAAAUACCUUCAAAAUUAAACCUAAUAAACAUAAGGAUGUAGUUGGUAAUGUAAUGGAAAACAUUCUCAUUGCGGCCUCUUUAUAACUAUGUAGUUUUUCAACGAGGAAAAAAAAAAUUCAAUUGAAAGGAGGUCAGUGAGAUUUCGCAAGUGUUUGUCAGAGAUUGAUCAAUGCCCAGCUUUAUAAAAACACAAAUAAAUCAGAAAGAAAAAAAAAAUUAUCUGGUAGGCUUUGACAUGUGAGUUGCUGAUUGGGAAUAAUAUUGUCGAUUGUGAGACAAUAUUAUCCAUCUAUUAUUUACUUUGGUUCCUCCUAGUCUCAGUUACUGCAGCAAAUGGAGAAAGAUACGAAUGACCGCAAUCUUGAAUCUCCGACUUUCUUGAAUUUCUUCCUAUAUAUGGAUAGAUGACCGCCGAUAUUCGGAAAAGUCGAUUAUGUUCAAGAAUUUCACAGGAUUUUUCAUAUGCUUUAUGACCUCUUCUGCAAUUCUAUUCUUCUUGGAGUAAGAAGAGCACAAAGUUUGGAGCGGCUGAGUUGCUCCCUUACAACUCCCACCAGAAUUCCAUUAACCCAUUUCGGAGAAAGAGAAAGCAAGGGAAAAUGCAAAGAAAUUAAGAAAGGUAAAUAACAAUAUUCUUCAUUCAUACCUUCUUUACAUCGUAAAAGAGUUUAAAUACAUAUAAAAGUAGUAGGGUUUGAAGUGUAAUGAGCCUAAUUAGUCACAACAGAAGUCCAAUAGUUUAGAGUCGCAUCAAAACUGACAUGCACAAGUUCGAUAUAACCAACUCUGUGGAUGCAAAUUUCUUCCUCCUCGAUCUUGGACGAUUUUGCACCUACAAAACAAUUAACACCUUAGGUUAAGGCCAAGAGCCUCACGCGCCCACGAUGAAUGGGGGGGCUUUGGCCGAAGAACCUCCGAUGCCAAAGUUAGAAUUUAGAGAGAAAGAGUGUUUAGAGAAUUUUGGGAUUUUUGUCAAAGUGUUGGAAUUAGCUUUUUGGUGAGAAUGGGAGUAUAUUUAUAGGGAUAGGAGGUGGCUAGGGUUUUUAGGUUUAAUUAGCCAAUUUAUUUGGCUAUUAAACAUAAAAUGAAUGUUUUGGUGGUUUUUUGUAUAAUUGGCUAAAAAAGGAAGAAAUGGUGGGAAAAGGUAGAAAAAAGGUAAUGGAUUAGGUUUUUCAAUGGGAUAGCCGGCCCUCUUGUGUUUUUUAGGUUUGAGUGGAUGUUUCAAAUUGACAAUUAAGGGAUUGAUUAGGUAAUUAAUCCCUUAAUUAGUCAAUUAUUAUGAUUUUAUGAAAUAUGAAAGGAAUAAGUAUAUUAUUUAGCUAAUUGAUUAGCUAAAUAAUGAAAUGGGAAAAAUAUAUGAAUAAAUUAGGUUUUAAGUUGAUACCUAUUUUGGGCACUUUUGACUUGGUUGAAAAAAUGAUUCUCUACUGCUCGCGUGUAGGAAACCCGGUAUGCCUCGAGGGUAUUUUUGUUCUCUUUUGUCCAAAAGUCCACAUGUCGCCUAGUGAAUAUUUUUGGCUCCACAAAUGCCCCCACACCUGUUGGGCUGCUCGCAAAAAAAGGGCAGCAGGUGUAGAGAUCUUCUUGCUUUAGGAAACUUAAGACUGCUUCCUAUUUUGAUGUUGAUUCUCUCUUUAAUAGGAAAUUAGAUCCUUCUAGGAAAGGGAAAUAAAUUUUCUCUCAAAGCCUAUUUAAGUCCACCUUAAGUGGGUUAUUAAAUCAACUUUGGAGAGCGAUUUAUUCUACCCUACAAGAGAGAGAUAGCUUAGAGGAUAUUUGUUCCCCCUCCUCUAGCAAUCUUCUACAUCUUGCCCGUGCAAAGGACCGUCUUUCGUUGCUUUCUUCGUCUUCUUCGUGCCGCACCGAUGUAAGAAAAAUUUAAUUUUUCUUGCCUUAUUCUUGGAUAGUGCUAUUGCGGGGCAGCCGUCGGGGUGGUGCGGCACAUCGGCUGGCAGGGGCCAGGAGUUGGCUCAGCAUGGGCCGAGGAGAUGUUGUGGCAGGGACCACUGCUUGGGCAGCUUGGCUUAGCUUGAGCCAAAAGGCAGCUUGUGCAACUAGGGUCGCGGAUUGUGGCGCUGGGGCGCAGUGCUAGGCGAGCCGCAUGGCUCAUGUCAUUUGGGCUCUUGGACCUGACUCGGGCUAGGCUGGUGAUUGAGAGAAAUAAGGAGAUUGCGGGUCUCAUGGGCUGCUGGAAUGUUGGGCAUGCAGGCCUCCUGCCUGUUGGAAUGCUGGGUUGAGCUCCCCUGCUGAGUACCAUGAAUGUCGUUGGCUGCUUAGUCCUCUUUGCCGAAAGAAAGGUGGGCUGCUCCAGAAAGAGGAGGUAAAGAGGAUCAAGGCGGAUGCAUUGGCUCGUCUGAUCGCUAUCGUGGAGCUUACUAUGAAUGAAGAUGGAAAGAAGAGAUCUUCCCCGCCUGCUCAUGAGAUGCCAGUUAAGAAAAAACUGAAGACUUCUUCUGCUGCUCAUGAGGGUCCGCUUGCUACCGAGAGGUAUGUGAUUGACAUGAUUUUCCAAUGGGAAGAAAUGUAAGGCUGCUAGAUCUGAGCAUGUGGCGUCUUCCAUGUUGAGAAUGGCUAGUACAAUUGUGGAUAAGAUUACUCAGCGUAAAGGUUUUAUCAUGCCCCCAGUGCCGAAGUCUGUACCAGGACGUUCUUUGGGAGCCAAGUCCGGUUCACCUUUGUAGAGACUUGCUAUUAUGAAGAGUGGUAAGGUGGACUCUGCUGCUAAAGUGGCGCCAAAGCCUGCUCCCUUUGCUGCUGAGAUUGAUUCGCCUCAGAUUCAAGAUCUUAAGCUUGCAAUUUCUGAGCUUCGUUUCGCUACUUAUGCUAAGAAGAGAGUGGAUGAGCUUCUCUAUUUCUCCGGAAGACUUGCUUGCUUUUACUUUUAAGGCUUCCAUUGGUGAAGUAGUUGGAGAAGUUAGUGCCCAGACUGGGGCAGCCGGGGGUGAAGCGUCGGCUGAUGCCGCUGCUAAGAGCGUUACGGCUGUUGAAGGUGUGGCGACCGAGUAGUCGUGGAAUGUCCAAGCUGCUGUAGUGUAGUAUUUUAGGUAGCCUUUAGGAUUUUCUUUGUUUUUCCUUGUAGCUUUUGUUUUGCUUGAACUCCUUCAACCUUUGCUAGUUGUUUAUAAACAUGUUUUCCUUCGUUUUUCUUCAUCUUCACUUCUUUUGUUCAUGCCCUAACCUUUAGACUUGAUAGACCAGUGGCAGGCAUGCUACUUUUUUAUAAGCAGACAAACUCGCGUAGCCUAUGCAGCCGUAGGUGUUGGUGUAGAACUUUGCAAAGUUGUUAGCCAUAGGGUUGGCAGCCGGAUGCCUUACUUACAGAAGCAGACAAGUCCGCGUAACCACUAGGCUGUUAACUUUGACUUUCUUCAAUUCCGUAGGUUGCGUAGUAAGUAUCACAACACUUUAGGACUUUGUGUAGGUUGUUCCGCGCUUGGCAGAGGUGAAGCUUAUCGACUACGUAGCAUGUCGGCAGUGGAUAAAACUUCGUAUAUGCGCGCUAGCUUGUCUAACCUUUCACAAGAAUGUGCGGUUGUAUAAGUCUAGUGCGGCUUCACUGCUCGAAGGGCAAGCCGUAGGCAGUCUUCCGGAAUCCGUAGGCUACCUUAGUGCACUCAGUAGCAGCUUUAGGAUUCCAGGACAGCCGUCCAUCGGAUGUACUGCGUAAUGUGCCUUCUCCGUCUCUAGGGCCCGGUUCCCCACGGAUUAGGCCAAGAGACCCAAAAUCCUUCAGUUAGCUAAACCUUGAAAAAGACCAUUGCGGCUACUUCUAGGAAUCCCGGCGCAAGCCAUCGUGCAUCUAGUUAUACUAGGGCAGCCAGGCUCAUCCACGUCUGGAUAUUCGGAGUGUAAAGUUUAUCCUCCCGUCUUGGAGAGCUGACCCAUAUGGGUGUCGGAGAAUUGGUUUACCCUCUCGCACUGGAGAGCAUGGUUGGUCCCUCGGGGGGCGCAAUUCCUGCGAUAAGUCCCUAAGAAGGGUGCAGUCUUCUUUUAAAGUGCAAGAGUGAUUAGUUGUUGUAAGCAUGCAGCCAAGCCAAGUUGUGAUUACUUCUAAAUUCCUCAUUGAAAAAUGAGUGAAACGAACGAGAACUUUAGCUGUAAGGUAGGAACUACAUAACAACUGGAUAGUCCUCAGCUUGUGAGGUGGUGCCCGUCGAGCUUAUUGAGUCUUCGGGUUUUGAUGUAGCGGGAGGUCACACAUGGUACUUCUUCUUCAGAUUGUAGGCCAUCCAUUUUUUUUUCAAUCUUUUUUGCCGCUUCAUGGUGGUGAGGGUGUAAUUACUCUUGCCCCCUACUCUGCUGAUCUUGUACGGACCUUCCCAGAUGGGAUCCAUCUUUUUGGAGCCUUCUCUGCCGGCAGUGAUGAAGGCUUUUCUGCGCCGUCGACAUGCAAAUGCCAGAAGUCUCCAUCGGGUGGAGUAGGCACAGCUAGAGUGUGCUCGGCUACUUCUGAGGCAUCGUUGGGCCACUCUGUUGCGUCACCUAGGCUCGGCGUGAAGGCGCAGUAGGGAGCUGUGGAGAUGGGGCCAUGUCAUACGCAACAGGAGAUGCUCAACUGCCGGUAUUGGGCCACUCUAGAGUUGAAUCAUUGAGCAAGGUCGGCUAGGGCCGUGUGAUGCGCAGCAAGAAAUGGUACUCAACUGCCGUUACAUGUUGCUCCUAUGUAGAAUCUUUCAGGAUGACGAGGACAAAACUUGCUUUCAAGUGUGUCUUUCCAGUGUUACGUUCGUCAGAAAACUUUACAUCCGCCAGGGUCUACGCCUUUAUCGUCGCGCGUCUGGAUUGGGCAGAAUAGUACGUCAUUAAGAUGAUUGCAUGCGUUUGAAAGUAAAAUUUGUGUUUCUAGGUUGCAACAACUAUCGCCAAAGUUAACUUUUGAAUUUUUAAUAACAUCGAUGAGAGCUUUUGAACUGUAGAAUACAGGUAACUGUGGAAUACAGGUAGUCGGGCCCCCAUCUCUUCUCGCAUGAUGGUAGAGCUUAUUGCUACUUUAGAUAACGUCAAACAUGUGAAUAAGUCCUCCGCUGCUUCUAGGGAGGUGAUGUCGGGUACUUCUUCAAGUCCUUGAAUGUGCAUUGGCGAGCCUCAUCCCAAAGUGCAUACUUCUCUGCCAAAGCAAAAGAGUCUGCCAGAGUUAGAUCUUCUUUCAUGAUCAAUUUUCCGAAUAGCGGGUGGUCUGCUGGAAGUCCUUUUUGGAAGGCUGCUCUAGCUAUCGAGUCGUUGCAUCCGACUAUUUUUGCCUUCUCUACUUUGAACCUCCUCACAUAGUCGCGAAGUGACUCCUUUGGGUUCUUCUUGACGUUGAACAAAUGAUCAGACUUCUUUUUGAUUGAGCGAUAGGAUGAAUAUUCUUUGGUGCAAACCAAAGAAAGUUCGUAGAAAUCCCGGAUGGAUUGUGGCGGCAGGGUGUAGAACCAAUCUUGCGCCUCGCCUUGUAGAGUGGUGGCGAAUAUCUUGCACAUGAGCUCAUCGUUGUUUCGAUAAAGGAUCAUUGUGCUUCGGUAGCGCUUUAAGUGUCUCUCCGGGUCUUCAUCCCCUUUGAAAGAUGUGAAAUGUGGCAUGCUGAACUCUCGUGGAGGCUCUGCCUGCUCGAUCUCGUCCGUGAAGGGUGACCUGCUUAUGUUGGUCAUGUUCCGUCGUAGUGCCUCGUUGGUGACCUCGUUGCGUUGGAAAUCAUGCAAUCGCUUGGUCAAGAGUCUCUCUACUUCUUCCUGAAUUUGCCUUUGUUGGGGUAGUGCAGCUCUCGGCUGCCCCCAGCCAUGACUUGCUGGUCUAGGCUGCUCUUCCAUGUGUUUGGCUCGUCUAUGCCGCAGAUGCAGUGCAUAUGGUGCAUUCCUAGCAGGCGAGCGAGUUCUUCGCAGGCUGCUGGUUGAACUUGAGCUGGAUUGAGUAACUGCUUCUCUCCGUCUGUCGUGCUGCCUACUCUGAUGUGAGGUGGAUGAUGCUCCUUGUGGGCUUAGCCGCGAAUGAACACUUUGUCUGGAAGGUUGCUCAUGUUGACUAUCGGAGUGUGACCCCAACCGUGAAUGUAUGCUCAUCCGUGGGCCUAGUCGAGAGUACACGCUCCUCCGCGCGCUAAGACGGGAGUAUACGCUAUCUCGGGGGCCCAAUCGGGAAUGUACACUGCCUGAACGUUCAGCUCGUGGCUGGUCGAAUGGCUGCUUGCUGGGAUGCUGCUGGAAAAGUUUGUCUGCCCUUGUCCUACUUCGGGAUACCUCAUCCGGGGCACGUUGGAUCCCGAUGCGUUGCAAAAGUUGAUUCACCAAAGUUGUCUGUUGUGCAAGGGUGCUCGUCAACUCUAUGACUUGUCGAGACAAGUGUUGUUCGCCAUUUGGAUUGGAAGAGCUUGGAAGGAAUGCGCCUCCUUGAGCAGUGGAAGGGUGGUAGACUCCGGGCGCGAGAUUUGAGUUGGGAAAUGUCAAAUCCGCGAAAAAAUGUGGUGAGAAUGCCCCCGGCUCGAUGGUAGGUCCAGAUGGUUGAGAUAGUUUUGGGCCGACUUGGGCUGCUUGGAAAGCCACGGGAGCAGUGUGGGCCUUGAGAGUGGGCUGCUCGUCAGGAGUGGGCUGCUCGUUGGGAGCAGGCUGGGUCACGAGAGCAGGCUGCUUGGCAGGAGCAUGUUGCUUGGCGGGAGCAGGCUGGGCCACGGAAGCAGGCUGCUUGGCAGGAGCAGGUUGCUUGGCGGGAGCAGGCUGGGCCACGGAAGUAGGCUGCUUGGCAGGAGCAGGCUGGGCCACGGGAGUGGGUUGCUCGACGGGAGCAGGCUGGAUCACGGGAGCAGGCUGCUCAAUGCGCGGUGCAUGUGAAUGCGAGGCUUGGGCUUGGGUCCACGUGAACUUGGAUGGCACGGCUUGGAUCGUGGUCUUGGUACCGUGAGCCUUGGAUGGCACGGCUCGGGCCGUGGUGAAGGCUCCAUGGACCUCGCCACGAGUGGCUACCGAAGUAGCCAUCGUGGUGGUUCCCAUGGUGGCCGUGGUGAAGGCAUCAUGGACCUCGCCGUGGGUGGCUACCGAGGUAGCCACCACGGUGGUUCCCAUGGUGGAAGCUCGUGGUGAUGAUGCCGCUCCCCUUAUUGUCGCAUUUUGCCUUACGGAUCUCUGGGUCGUGGUGAAGGCUCCAUGGACCUCGCCACGAGUGGCUACCGAAGUAGCCACCGCGGUGGUUCCCAUGGUGGCCGUGGUGAAGGCACCAUGGACCUCGCCGCGGGUAGCUACCGAAGUAGCCACCACGGUGGUUCCCAUGGUGGAAGCUCGUGAUGAUGAUGCCGCUCCCCUUAUUGUCGCAUUUAGCCUCACGGAUCUCCGCAAUCCCAUUUCUUGAACAUUAGAAUUUUCACUUGUGGAAUUUUCUAAAUUUCUAGCCAUUAUUUUUUUGCUUAUACGUUUUAUCAAAGAACCUUUGCAAGUAAAAAAUUCUAAUAAUAAGAACGUAUGAAAAAUAUUCAAAUGGACUAGAAAAUAAAGAAAAAACCUUUUUUGUGCGAGAGUCUUCUACGAGUAUGGAUUUCAACUCUCAAUGAAAGCACCAAUUUGUGGAUGCAAAUUUCUUCCUCCUCGAUCUUGGACGAUUUUGCACCUACAAAACAAUUAACACCUUAGGUUAAGGCCAAGAGCCUCACGCGCCCACGAUGAAUGGGGGGGGGCUUUGGCCGAAGAACCUCCGAUGCCAAAGUUAGAAUUUAGAGAGAAAGAGUGUUUAGAGAAUUUUGGGAUUUUUGCCAAAGUGUUGGAAUUCGCUUUUUGGUGAGAAUGGGAGUAUAUUUAUAGGGAUAGGAGGUGGCUAGGGUUUUUAGGUUUAAUUAGCCAAUUUAUUUGGCUAUUAAACAUAAAAUGAAUGUUUGGUGGUUUUUUGUAUAAUUGGCUAAAAAAGGAAGAAAUGGUGGGAAAAGGUAGAAAAAAGGUAAUGGAUUAGGUUUUUCAAUGGGAUAGCCGGCCCUCUUGUGUUUUUAGGUUUGAGUGGAUGUUUCAAAUUGACAAUUAAGGGAUUGAUUAGGUAAUUAAUCCCUUAAUUAGUCAAUUAUUAUGAUUUUAUGAAAUAUGAAAGGAAUAAGUAUAUUAUUUAGCUAAUUGAUUAGCUAAAUAAUGAAAUGGGAAAUAUAUGAAUAAAUUAGGUUUUAAGUUGAUACCUAUUUUGGGCACUUUUGACUUGGUUGAAAAAAUGAUUCUCUACUGCUCGUGUGUAGGAAACCCGGUAUGCCUCGAGGGUAUUUUUGUCCUCUUUUGUCCAAAAGUCCACGUGUCGCCUAGUGAAUAUUUUUGGCUCCACAAACUCCCCUAGCGGCCUCACACUUUGAACAAUAAUGUAGUGGAGAUCUAUUCAAGUUUUUUCGCUUUUCUGUGUAAAUGAGUUUUGGAAUUUGAGAGUGUCCAUUCACAUCAGUUUCCUACUAUAUUUGAAUUUUUUUUUUAUUUAUAAAAAGUGAUAUUUAUGAAAUUGAGUGUUAAGUUUUGGCUAUUAAUGAUAAAUAGUCUUAGAUUGCUCCUUCCCAACAUCCCCAAACCAAACCCGAGUCGCGUCAAAGAAGACCCAUGGACUCCGCCAUCACCGGCCAUGGCUGCAAUUAUAGCUCGGACAGUAAAUUUAUCAUUAAUAGCCUCCGUUUGGACUCCGAGAAAAUCCGAGAAAUUUGAACACCAUGUUUGAAUUUGGGUGCUACUGGUGAAUAUUCCCAAUUAUCAGAUUUUGUGCAUCUUUUUCCAAACAAACACUCUGACACAUUGAAGAGUUAUUGGUGAACCAGCUCAGCUUGGAAUGGGAUGAUUAAAAACGUACAAGACACACUAUAGCAUAGCAUUGAACGCGAUUAAUGUAAAAACUCAAGUACAGCUGCUGUUGAAAAACAAACAAAACAGUUGCACAUUCGAAAGAUAAAAGCCAUGGUAGUUGAAAAAAGGAAAUGAUUGGGCGGACAACUAUAUCAUAUACGUGCAUGAAACAUGUGUAGCUCCAAUCUUAUGAAACCCUUUCCAAAGUUGUGUGCAUUUAUGUUUCAAUGCUACAAAUGGGCCUUCCGUCUUGUUCUACAUCUAUUUGUUGAUUGGUUAUCUUUUUCAAAGUUUUGUCGGCCACAUGGACUGUGAAGUUUAAAUCACUUCACACAUAAAAAUUUGCUUUAGAUUUCCAGUUGAGAGGGUGCGAUGUAGAGCAGAGAGUUGAGAGAGUGAGACGCCAGCGAGGCACACGAGGGAUAAAAAGGAGGAAGGAAAUGAAGAAAGGAGACCCCGUUCCACCGUGAGAUCACUUUGGGCUCAUUUGUUAUCAUUUUAAAAGUUUUGUCGGCCAAUUGAACUUUAAAGUUCAAAUCAGUUGCAACCAACAAAGAAGAAAGGUUAUGCAGCUAAUACUUUUACUCUGCCAGUAGAGAAACUGCAUAUACUAACACUAGUACUGUGGUGGCUACUCUACUGGAUUCUGGCAAUUUUAUCCUACAACAAGUGAACUCUAUGGAUGGAUCGAGGAACCAGAUUUUGUGGCAAAGUUUUGAUCAUCCAAUAGACACCCUUUAUCCAGGCAUGAAAUUAGGCGUGAACCAUAGAAACGGGCACAUUUUGUCACUUACUUCAUGGUCAAGUGAGUACGAUCCAAAGCCGGGGCCUUUCACCCUUGAAUGGGACUACAAAACGCAAGAAUUGCAGAUUAAGCGACGCGGAGUGGUUCACUGGACUAGUGGAGCCUCUACAAGUAAGAGAUUUAAGCUGCUGAUGGGGUGGUAUAAUUUUAACAUUGUUUCAAACAAAAAUGAAGACUACUUCUCUCUAAACCAGACUUCUACAUCACAAUGGUUCUUAACAACAGCUGGAGUACUGGAUGACUUGGAAGGAGAUGUUAUUGCAAGACCAGAUAACUGUUAUGGCUAUAACAGAGAUGGAGGGUGCAAGAGAUGGGCGGAGAAGCCAACUUGCAGACAUGUUGGUGACACAUUCGAGAUAAAAAAUGGUUUCAACUCAAAUUCAACCUUCCCGACUGAUUCUAAUAGAAGUCUAAGUCUUAGUGAUUGUAAAGAUUGUUGUUGGAAAAAUUGCGACUGUUUUGGAUUCAACUUUCUAUUUGAAUAUUAUACAGGAAUAAACUGGGAGUUCAUUACAGGCUUCUCUAGUGAUACUACACUUUGUUUUUAUAUGUUGAAAACAAAGUCACCUCGCAAUAAUGGUAGAUCUACCGAUCAUUAACCUUUUCAACUAAGAACUUACCCACUAGUUACUAUAUCGUACCGGUUCAGAUCGUCCCGCAACAGGAGACGCAUAAAACAACGAAGGAAAUUUGGCCGCGCUCACACACACACUAGUAUAUAUGCAAUUGAAUGACAAGUACAUUUACUAAUGAAUGCAUAUAGAAAAAAGCGGAUAUUUAUUGGCACUGGUAUAACAGCUGCUACUCUACUACUAGUUGUCCCAUGCAUCGCUUGCUAUGUACUAUGAAGACGAAAAUUUGCACUUUCAGGUACACAAAGUUAUUCGAGUCAAUGAAAGUUUUUGUCAUGAAUGUAAAAUAUAUUUUGUACCUUAAUUUACAUAGGCGAGAAUGAGACAAGGAUCAUUGAGGAUGAAUUGCGUGACUUAAUGAAAUCUGAUCGACCUACUGAUGCUACUGCACUUCAAAAUGAUGGAAAUAUGAGACCUGAUUUAAGUAUCUUUAGUUAUGCAUCUGUAAUGGCUGCCACAUGUAAUUUCUCACCAGAAAACAAGCUCGGACAAGGGGGAUUUGGUCCGGUUUAUAAGGUAAGGUUUUAGAUCAUAUAAUGUUAUAUUUCGUCUAUUGAUGCUAAAAACUUAUAGCUGAUCAGGUGAGAUAUUGUGCAUCACUAAUUCAGGGAAAAUUGGUGACGGGACAAGAAGUAGCUGUUAAGAGGCUUUCAAAAUGUUCAGGGCAAGGAUCAUUGGAGUUUAAGAAUGAAUUGAUACUCAUAUAUGAACUCCAACAUAAAAACCUUGUCAAACUUUUUGGAUUUUGCAUUCAUGGUGAAGAAAGGAUGCUCAUAUAAGAGUGUAUGCCAAACAAAAGUUUGGACUACUUUUUAUUCG